This 497-nucleotide ribosomal RNA is filed under the name uncultured bacterium. RNAcentral describes it as "partial 16S ribosomal RNA". It matches the Rfam family "Bacterial small subunit ribosomal RNA", at positions 28 to 507 of the family's 1533-position model. The record is from RNAcentral.
GAUGAACGCUGGCGGCGUGCCUAAUACAUGCAAGUCGAGCGAACAGACGAGGAGCUUGCUCCUCUGACGUUAGCGGCGGACGGGUGAGUAACACGAGGAUAACCUACCUAUAAGACUGGGAUAACUUCGGGAAACCGGAGCUAAUACCGGAUAACAUGUUGAACCGCAUGGUUCAACAGUGAAAGACGGUCUUGCUGUCACUUAUAGAUGGAUCCGCGCCGCAUUAGCUAGUUGGUAAGGUAACGGCUUACCAAGGCAACGAUGCGUAGCCGACCUGAGAGGGUGAUCGGCCACACUGGAACUGAGACACGGUCCAGACUCCUACGGGAGGCAGCAGUAGGGAAUCUUCCGCAAUGGGCGAAAGCCUGACGGAGCAACGCCGCGUGAGUGAAGAAGGUCUUCGGAUCGUAAAACUCUGUUAUUAGGGAAGAACAAAUGUGUAAGUAACUAUGCACGUCUUGACGGUACCUAAUCAGAAAGCCACGGCUAACUACGUG